This 409-nucleotide ribosomal RNA is filed under the name Bacillota bacterium. RNAcentral's name for it is "Firmicutes bacterium partial 16S ribosomal RNA". It matches the Rfam family "Bacterial small subunit ribosomal RNA", at positions 355 to 776 of the family's 1533-position model. The record is from RNAcentral. Lineage: Bacteria; Bacillati; Bacillota.
UGGGGAAUAUUGCACAAUGGGCGAAAGCCUGAUGCAGCGACGCCGCGUGAGGGAUGACGGCCUUCGGGUUGUAAACCUCUUUCAGCAGGGACGAAGCGCAAGUUACGGUACCUGCAGAAGAAGCACCGGCUAACUACGUGCCAGCAGCCGCGGUAAUACGUAGGGUGCAAGCGUUGUCCGGAAUUACUGGGCGUAAAGAGUUCGUAGGCGGUUUGUCGCGUCGUUUGUGAAAACCAGCAGCUCAACUGCUGGCUUGCAGGCGAUACGGGCAGACUUGAGUACUGCAGGGGAGACUGGAAUUCCUGGUGUAGCGGUGAAAUGCGCAGAUAUCAGGAGGAACACCGGUGGCGAAGGCGGGUCUCUGGGCAGUAACUGACGCUGAGGAACGAAAGCGUGGGUAGCGAACAGG